Molecule: ribosomal RNA, 466 nt
Filed under: uncultured Acinetobacter sp.
Lineage: Bacteria; Pseudomonadati; Pseudomonadota; Gammaproteobacteria; Moraxellales; Moraxellaceae
Description: bacterial SSU rRNA
Rfam family: Bacterial small subunit ribosomal RNA
Source: RNAcentral
CCUACGGGCGGCUGCAGUGGGGAAUAUUGGACAAUGGGCGAAAGCCUGAUCCAGCCAUGCCGCGUGUGUGAAGAAGGCCUUUUGGUUGUAAAGCACUUUAAGCGAGGAGGAGGCUACCGAGAUUAAUACUCUUGGAUAGUGGACGUUACUCGCAGAAUAAGCACCGGCUAACUCUGUGCCAGCAGCCGCGGUAAUACAGAGGGUGCAAGCGUUAAUCGGAUUUACUGGGCGUAAAGCGCGCGUAGGUGGCCAAUUAAGUCAAAUGUGAAAUCCCCGAGCUUAACUUGGGAAUUGCAUUCGAUACUGGUUGGCUAGAGUAUGGGAGAGGAUGGUAGAAUUCCAGGUGUAGCGGUGAAAUGCGUAGAGAUCUGGAGGAAUACCGAUGGCGAAGGCAGCCAUCUGGCCUAAUACUGACACUGAGGUGCGAAAGCAUGGGGAGCAAACAGGAUUAGAUACCCGAGUAGUC